This 484-nucleotide ribosomal RNA is filed under the name uncultured bacterium. RNAcentral's name for it is "partial 16S ribosomal RNA". It matches the Rfam family "Bacterial small subunit ribosomal RNA", at positions 30 to 507 of the family's 1533-position model. The record is from RNAcentral.
AUUGAACGCUGGCGGCAGGCCUAACACAUGCAAGUCGAGCGGAUGAAGGGAGCUUGCUCCUGGAUUCAGCGGCGGACGGGUGAGUAAUGCCUAGGAAUCUGCCUGGUAGUGGGGGAUAACGUCCGGAAACGGGCGCUAAUACCGCAUACGUCCUGAGGGAGAAAGUGGGGGAUCUUCGGACCUCACGCUAUCAGAUGAGCCUAGGUCGGAUUAGCUAGUUGGUGGGGUAAAGGCCUACCAAGGCGACGAUCCGUAACUGGUCUGAGAGGAUGAUCAGUCACACUGGAACUGGGACACGGUCCAGACUCCUACGGGAGGCAGCAGUGGGGAAUAUUGGACAAUGGGCGAAAGCCUGAUCCAGCCAUGCCGCGUGUGUGAAGAAGGUCUUCGGAUUUUAAAGCACUUUAAGUUGGGAGGAAGGGCAGUAAGUUAAUACCUUGCUGUUUUGACGUUACCAACAGAAUAAGCACCGGCUAACUUCGUG